This 57-nucleotide transfer RNA is filed under the name Caenorhabditis macrosperma. RNAcentral's name for it is "tRNA-Leu". The record is from RNAcentral. Lineage: Eukaryota; Metazoa; Nematoda; Chromadorea; Rhabditida; Rhabditidae.
ACAUGUUUAGUAUAAGUUAAUAUAUUGGAUUUAGGUUCCAAAGAUUUGUAAUAUGUU